UUUUAAAAACUUCAUCCAUUUGUACUGUUAAAAAUUGAUGUGGUUAACAAAAUAAUCAAAUAGUGACAUGUGACGUGUUACAUGUACAGGAACCAGUUUUUAACGGUAGAAAUUGAUGAAAUUUUUAACA
Molecule: non-coding RNA, 130 nt
Organism: Gossypium arboreum
Lineage: Eukaryota; Viridiplantae; Streptophyta; Magnoliopsida; Malvales; Malvaceae
Source: Rfam